This 445-nucleotide ribosomal RNA is filed under the name uncultured bacterium. RNAcentral's name for it is "bacterial SSU rRNA". It matches the Rfam family "Bacterial small subunit ribosomal RNA", at positions 354 to 796 of the family's 1533-position model. The record is from RNAcentral.
GUGAGGAAUAUUGGGCAAUGGAGGCAACUCUGACCCAGCCAUGCCGCGUGCAGGAAGACGGCCCUAUGGGUUGUAAACUGCUUUUAUAUAGGAAGAACUACAUCUACGUGUAGAUGUUUGACGGUACUAUAUGAAUAAGCACCGGCUAACUCCGUGCCAGCAGCCGCGGUAAUACGGAGGGUGCAAGCGUUAUCCGGAAUCAUUGGGUUUAAAGGGUCCGUAGGCGGGCAAUUAAGUCAGAGGUGAAAUCCCACAGCUCAACUGUGGAACUGCCUUUGAUACUGGUUGUCUUGAGUUACAGUGAAGUAGAUAGAAUAAGUAGUGUAGCGGUGAAAUGCAUAGAUAUUACUUAGAAUACCGAUUGCGAAGGCAGUCUACUAACUGUAUACUGACGCUAAUGGACGAAAGCGUGGGGAGCGAACAGGAUUAGAAACCCUAGUAGUCC